This 217-nucleotide ribosomal RNA is filed under the name Escherichia coli. RNAcentral's name for it is "partial 16S ribosomal RNA". It matches the Rfam family "Bacterial small subunit ribosomal RNA", at positions 1 to 216 of the family's 1533-position model. Lineage: Bacteria; Pseudomonadati; Pseudomonadota; Gammaproteobacteria; Enterobacterales; Enterobacteriaceae. The record is from RNAcentral.
AAAUUGAAGAGUUUGAUCAUGGCUCAGAUUGAACGCUGGCGGCAGGCCUAACACAUGCAAGUCGAACGGUAACAGGAAGCAGCUUGCUGCUUCGCUGACGAGUGGCGGACGGGUGAGUAAUGUCUGGGAAACUGCCUGAUGGAGGGGGAUAACUACUGGAAACGGUAGCUAAUACCGCAUAACGUCGCUAGACCAAAGAGGGGGACCUUCGGGCCUC